This 497-nucleotide ribosomal RNA is filed under the name uncultured bacterium. RNAcentral's name for it is "partial 16S ribosomal RNA". It matches the Rfam family "Bacterial small subunit ribosomal RNA", at positions 28 to 507 of the family's 1533-position model. The record is from RNAcentral.
GAUGAACGCUGGCGGCGUGCCUAAUACAUGCCAGUCGAGCGAACAGACGAGGAGCUUGCUCCUCUGACGUUAGCGGCGGGCGGGUGAGUAACACGUGGAUAACCUACCUAUAAGACUGGGAUAACUUCGGGAAACCGGAGCUAAUACCGGAUAAUAUAUUGAACCGCAUGGUUCAAUAGUGAAAGACGGUUUUGCUGUCACUUAUAGAUGGAUCCGCGCCGCAUUAGCUAGUUGGUAAGGUAACGGCUUACCAAGGCAACGAUGCGUAGCCGACCUGAGAGGGUGAUCGGCCACACUGGAACUGAGACACGGUCCAGACUCCUACGGGAGGCAGCAGUAGGGAAUCUUCCGCAAUGGGCGAAAGCCUGACGGAGCAACGCCGCGUGAGUGAUGAAGGUCUUCGGAUCGUAAAACUCUGUUAUUAGGGAAGAACAAAUGUGUAAGUAACUAUGCACGUCUUGACGGUACCUAAUCAGAAAGCCACGGCUAACUACGUG